UAAGGAAUAUUGGACAAUGGGCGAAAGCCUGAUCCAGCCAUGCCGCGUGAAUGAAGAAGGCCUUAGGGUUGUAAAGUUCUUUUAGGGGUGACGAUAAUGACGGUAGCCCCAGAAAAAGCUCCGGCUAACUCCGUGCCAGCAGCCGCGGUAAUACGGAGGGAGCGAGCGUUGUUCGGAAUUACUGGGCGUAAAGCGUGCGCAGGCGGUCUUAUAAGUCAGAAGUGAAAGCCCUGGGCUCAACCCAGGAAUUGCUUUUGAAACUGCAAGACUAGAGUAUCGGAGAGGUUGGCGGAAUUCCCAGUGUAGAGGUGAAAUUCGUAGAUAUUGGGAGGAACACCAGUGGCGUAAGCGGCCAACUAGACGAUUACUGACGCUCAGGCACGAAAGCGUGGGGAUCAAA
RNAcentral lists this ribosomal RNA (400 nucleotides) under uncultured bacterium. Its description in RNAcentral is "bacterial SSU rRNA". It matches the Rfam family "Bacterial small subunit ribosomal RNA", at positions 355 to 772 of the family's 1533-position model. The record is from RNAcentral.